This 422-nucleotide ribosomal RNA is filed under the name uncultured prokaryote. RNAcentral's name for it is "bacterial SSU rRNA". It matches the Rfam family "Bacterial small subunit ribosomal RNA", at positions 355 to 774 of the family's 1533-position model. The record is from RNAcentral.
UGAGGAAUAUUGGUCAAUGGGCGUAAGCCUGAACCAGCCAUCCCGCGUGCAGGAAGACGGCCCUAUGGGUUGUAAACUGCUUUUUCGCAUGAAGAACAUCCUUUACGUGUCAGGGACUGACGGUAAUGCGUGAAUAAGCACCGGCUAACUCCGUGCCAGCAGCCGCGGUAAUACGGAGUGUGCAAGCGUUAUCCGGAUUUAUUGGGUUUAAAGGGUGCGUAGGCGGAUUAAUAAGUCAGUGGUGAAAUACCCCGGCUCAACCGGGGAACUGCCAUUGAUACUGUUGAUCUAGAGUUCGUUUGAUGUGGGUGGAAUGUAGCAUGUAGCGGUGAAAUGCGUAGAUAUGCUACAGAACACCGAUUGCGAAGGCAGCUUACUAGACUGUAACUGACGCUGAGGCACGAAAGCGCGGGGAGCAAACA